Molecule: unclassified non-coding RNA, 274 nt
Filed under: Hevea brasiliensis (rubber tree)
Lineage: Eukaryota; Viridiplantae; Streptophyta; Magnoliopsida; Malpighiales; Euphorbiaceae
Source: RNAcentral
AUUUAGGGCGGAGAAGAUUGUGUUCUUUUCCUCUAUACGGGAGCCUUGGUGUAACCAGUAAAGUUGUUUUCAGUUUUCACGUGACCAGGAGGUCAAGGGUUCGAGCAGUAGAAACAACCUGUUGCAGAAAUGCAGGGCAAGGCUGCGGACAACAGACCCUUGUGAUCCGGCCGUUUCUUGAACUCCGUGCAUCGCGGGAGCUUAGUGCACCGGGUUGUCCUUUUCUGACAGGAGUAGUGGCUUUGUCAUUGACCGUCUUCGUGGUCAAUAGCAG